GAUGAACGCUAGCUACAGGCUUAACACAUGCAAGUCGAGGGGAAACGAUAGGGAAAGCUUGCUUUUUCUAGGCGUCGACCGGCGCACGGGUGAGUAACGCGUAUCCAACCUGCCCAUCACUUGGGGAUAACCUUGCGAAAGUAAGACUAAUACCCAAUGACGUCUCUAGAAGACAUCUGAAGGAGAUUAAAGAUUUAUCGGUGAUGGAUGGGGAUGCGUCUGAUUAGCUGGUUGGCGAGGGAACGGCCCACCAAGGCGACGAUCAGUAGGGGGUAUGAGAGGAAGGUCCCCCACAUUGGAACUGAGACACGGUCCAAACUCAUACGGGAGGCAGCAGUGAGGAAUAUUGGUCAAUGGACGAGAGUUUGAACCAGCCAAGUAGCGUGCAGGAAGACGGCCCUAUGGGUUGUAAACUGCUUUUAUAAGGGAAUAAAGUGAGUCUCGUGAGACUUUUUGCAUGUACCUUAUGAAUAAGGACCGGCUAAUUCCGUGCCAGCCGCCGCCGUAA
RNAcentral lists this ribosomal RNA (508 nucleotides) under uncultured bacterium. RNAcentral describes it as "partial 16S ribosomal RNA". It matches the Rfam family "Bacterial small subunit ribosomal RNA", at positions 28 to 523 of the family's 1533-position model. The record is from RNAcentral.